This 251-nucleotide ribosomal RNA is filed under the name uncultured prokaryote. RNAcentral's name for it is "partial 16S rRNA". It matches the Rfam family "Bacterial small subunit ribosomal RNA", at positions 525 to 775 of the family's 1533-position model. The record is from RNAcentral.
ACGGAGGGAGCAAGCGUUGUUCGGAUUUACUGGGCGUAAAGGGCGUCUAGGCGGAUUCGCAAGUCAGAUGUGAAAUCCCCCGGCUCAACCGGGGACCUGCAUUUGAUACUGCAAGUCUUGAGUACGGAAGAGGAGAGCGGAAUUCCUGGUGUAGCGGUGAAAUGCGUAGAUAUCAGGAAGAACACCGGUGGCGAAGGCGGCUCUCUGGUCCGAUACUGACGCUGAAGCGCGAAAGUGCGGGGAGCAAACAG